CGGUGGAGUAUGUGGUUUAAUUCGAUGCAACGCGAAGAACCUUACCUGGUCUUGACAUCCCGGAGACCCUUAGGAAACUAGGGGUGCUUCCAUCUGGAAGGAUCUGGAGACAGGUGCUCGCAUGGCUGUCGUCAGCUCGUGUCGUGAGAUGUUGGGUUAAGUCCCGCAACGAGCGCAACCCUUGCCUUUAGUUGCCAGCAGUUCGGCUGGGCACUCUAAAGGGACUGCCGGUGUUAAACCGGAGGAAGGUGGGGAUGACGUCAAGUCCUCAUGGCCUUUAUGACCAGGGCUACACACGUACUACAAUGGCCGAUACAAAGGGCAGCGACACUGCGAGGUGAAGCCAAUCCCGUAAAAUCGGUCUCAGUCCGGAUUGGAGUCUGCAACUCGACUCCAUGAAGUUGGAAUCGCUAGUAAUCGUGGAUCAGCAUGCCACGGUGAAUACGUUCCCGGGCCUU
RNAcentral lists this ribosomal RNA (458 nucleotides) under uncultured Desulfobulbus sp. Its description in RNAcentral is "bacterial SSU rRNA". It matches the Rfam family "Bacterial small subunit ribosomal RNA", at positions 930 to 1382 of the family's 1533-position model. The record is from RNAcentral. Lineage: Bacteria; Pseudomonadati; Thermodesulfobacteriota; Desulfobulbia; Desulfobulbales; Desulfobulbaceae.